UCGUUUAUCCAAGAGAACAUGAGAGCCUUAAGAAUGAUUGGAAACGUUAUUUGGACAGAUUACAUCAUUGGUAUCCAAAAAACCUCAUCCACAUGAUUACAAAGAGCAUAAUCACUACCGAUACAUAUUUGUAGAACGAACAAAAAAACAAAAAACAAAAAACUCAAAAACACUAACUCAAAAGCACGAACUUCCAUUAGUAUGCAACAUGCUGGUAAAUAACUUAGACAUACCGCCUCCGUCGUCACCUCAAAUUCUCUUCUAACUGCAGCCUUAUUCUGCUCUAGAUCCAUUCCUCGUUCGAUUAGAACCACUUUUGAUACCUUCUUGUUAUCUACUACAAAUUUCCCUCUUCUCCUCUGUGCUCGAUUCAAAAUCUCUGUGAAAACAACUCAGAUUUUAGCUCUUUUC
Molecule: long non-coding RNA, 411 nt
Filed under: Capsella rubella
Lineage: Eukaryota; Viridiplantae; Streptophyta; Magnoliopsida; Brassicales; Brassicaceae
Description: long non-coding RNA (CRUB_LNC002089)
Source: RNAcentral